RNAcentral lists this ribosomal RNA (5205 nucleotides) under Triticum aestivum (bread wheat). Its description in RNAcentral is "partial small subunit ribosomal RNA". Lineage: Eukaryota; Viridiplantae; Streptophyta; Magnoliopsida; Poales; Poaceae. The record is from RNAcentral.
UCCAUUGAUGGUUUCCAGGGAGAAGAGGAUGAUAUAAUAAUACUAUCAACUGUUAGUUCCAACGGGAGAGGAGUUGUUGGAUUUCUUGCUGAUAAUCGAAGAACAAAUGUUGCUCUUUCUAGAGCAAGGCACUGUCUUUGGAUUGUUGGGAAUGCUCAUACACUUCAUAAAAGUGGGACCGAAUGGACAGACCUUGUUGCUGAUGCGGAGAGACGUAAAUGUAUUUUCAGUGCCACUAAUGACGCAACCAUUUGUAGGUUGGUUUUGCUAGUAAAGCAAGACCUUGAUGAACUUGAGGAUCUUCUUAGUGCUGAAUCAGCGGUUUUCAGCAAUACCAGAUGGAAGGUCAUUCUUAGCGACGAGUUUAGAAAGUCUUUCACCAAACUAAAAUCACCACAGCUCAGGAAGGAAGUACUCCAAAAUCUUAUCAAACUUGGAGAUGGUUGGAGGACAACAGUCAAGAACCUUGAUAUGCCUGGUGUUUCUCAUCUUGUAAAAGUAUACAAGGCCUGGGACUUGUAUCUUGUUUGGAGUACUGACAUUGAGAAAACUGAAAGAACGUAUUCCCAGAUAAUAAGAAUUUGGGACCUACUGUCACAGCAAAAUGUUGCAAGGAUUGUUCAACGCCUCGAGAAUCUAUUCUAGAUGUACACGGAUGAUUACCUGGAUCAUUGCAGGAGAGUGCAGGCACAAGGGAAACUGGAGGUUCCAAUGGUUUGGGAUAUUGUGCAUGAUAUUAUCCGCUAUAACAAGGAUUGCAAAGCUGAUGCUCAUGAAGAGCAUGAUCCCAUGGAUACAUCAUAUGGCAUGGAGAAUUCAAAAGUUAGUGAAAGCUUCCUACUGAUGAAAUUCUACUCUUUAUCAUCUGGAAUGGCAAAGCAUUUGCUGACAGCUACUGAUGGGUCUGAAAUCAACAUCCCCUUUGAACUGACGGAUGAAGAGAAGGUGAUAAUCCAAUUCCCGCUCACUAGUUUUAUAGUUGGGAGGUCAGGCACUGGAAAAACCACUGUACUGACAAUGAAACUGAUUCAAAACGAGCAACAGUCAUUGAUUGCAUCGCAAGGUUUAAAUUUGGAUGGAGCUGAUUUAUCAGGGGUAGAUGACAAUAAUAUUAUGUCAACAAAGAAUGGAGGAGAAAGUUCUAUGAAACAAGUAUUUAUCACUGUAAGCCCAAAGCUAUGUUCAGCCAUAAAAGAUCACAUCUGCAAACUUAAAAGAUUUGGCACCGGUGAUGUCUCUGACCAGUCUAGCAUUCUUCACAUGCAUGACAUCAUGGAUGACCUGGAAGAGUUUACAGAAAUUCCUGACAGUUUUUGUGAUCUACCUCACGGGCACUAUCCUCUUACUAUAACACACCGUAAGUUUUUGAUGAUGCUUGAUGGAACAUGCCAUACAUCUUUUUUUGAUGCGUUUUAUGGUGAAAUGAAGUCUAGCUUUGAGAGAGGACAUUCAAGAUCUCGUGCAGUGCAUACUUUUAUUGAAUUGAAGGAAGUUACCUAUGAAAAAUUUGCUACUUCCUACUGGCCUCGUUUUAAUGCAGACCUGACAAAAAAAUUGGCGUCCACUGUCUUCACUGAAAUAAUUUCUCAUAUAAAGGACGCAUAUCAAGCAAGCAGGCCUUAUACUGGCAAACUGGACAGACAAGAUUAUGUGAUGCUCGCUGAUAAAAGAAUUUCAUCUUUGAACAAUGAGAUGAGAGAUAGAAUUUAUGAUAUAUUCCUUGAAUAUGAGAGUAUGAAAUGCACUACCAGGGAGUUUGAUUUGUCAGAUUUUGUAAAUAGUCUUCACAGCAGUCUUGUAUCUGAGGGCUACAAUGGAGAUAUGGUGGAUUUUUUUUACAUAGAUGAGGUGCAGGAUCUCACCAUGACACAAAUAGCACUUCUUAAGUAUGUCUGUAUGAACAUCAAGGAAGGCUUUCUUUUUGCUGGUGACACUGCACAGACUAUAGCAAGGGGUAUCGAUUUCAGGUUUGAAGAUAUCCAUUCACUUUUUUAUACUGCAUUCCUCGCAGAAAAUGAAGCGUCUAAUGAAGGACUUAAACAUGGGAAAAGAGUCCAUCUCUCACAUAUGUUCCAACUAUCACAGAAUUUCCGCACACAUUGUGGCAUCCUCCGUAUGGCACAAAGUAUCAUGAGCCUUCUGUACUUCUUUUUCCCAUCAAGUGUUGAUAAGCUUAAUCCAGAGACUGGACUUGUACAUGGAGAAGCUCCUGUGCUGCUGGAGUCUGAUAAUGAUGAGAAUGCAAUUAUGACUAUUUUUGGAGAAAGUAAAAGUAAACAUGGUAACCUGCAUGGGUUUGGUGCCGAGCAAGUCAUAUUAGUUCGUGAUGAUGCUACCAAAAAACAAAUUAUUGAUCUUGUUGGUAAACAAGCUCUUGUUUUGACUAUUGUUGAAUGUAAGGGCCUUGAGUUUCAGGAUGUGCUGUUGUACAACUUCUUUGGUUCGUCGCCUUUAAGAAACAAAUGGAGAGUUCUCUACGGCUACAUGGAAGAUAAAUAUAUUAUAGCACACUCGGAGCAGAUCUCUCAUCCUGGUUUCGACAGAAGCAAGCAUUAUCUUCUCUGUUCAGAGCUGGAGCAACUCUAUGUUGCAAUCACACGCACUAGGCAAAGACUCUGGAUAUGUGAAAAUACAGAUGAUUAAUGUCGACCAAUGUUUGACUACUGGAAGAAGUUGUGUAUUGUAGAAGUUAGAUCACUUGAUUCUACCCUCAUUCGGGCAAUGCAGACAGGGAGCAGCAGUGAUGAUUGGAGGCUACGGGGAACCAAGUUAUUCAAUGAGGGGCAAUUCGAAAUGGCUACUAUGUGUUUCGAAAAGGCCGGUGAUGCACACAGAGAGAAGUGGGCAAGAGCUGCUGGACUUGUAGCGACCGCUGACCUUGUCAUCUCAAAAAAUUUGGAGUUGGGCAAGGCUUCAUUGCAAACAGCAUCAGAGAUUUACGAGUCCAUAGGCAUGCAUGAGAAAGCUGCUACUUGCUAUAUCAAAUUAGGUGACUACAAAAAAGCAGGUAUGGUCUAUACGCAAAAAUGUGGUAUUUCUAGACUUGAGGAAGCUAGUGACUGUUUUGCUAGGGCUGAAUGCUGGUCGGAGGCAGCUGAAAUGUUUUUGAAAGCUAAAUGUUACACCAAGUGUUUCUCCAUGUGCUCGAAAGGAAAACAAUUAUACAAUCUGGGCUUGCAGUUUGUGCAACAGUUAAAGGAGGAACAUUCACUUGAGAAUUCAAAAUCCUUGGAGGUUUCUACAAUCAGAAUGAAGUAUCUGGAUAAUUGUGCUCAACAUUAUUUUGAGCGUGGUGACAUAAAGAAUAUGAUGCUCUUUGUUAAAGCUUUCAGCUCUAUGGAUCAUGUACGGGUGUUCCUAAAUUCUAGAAAUCUUAUUGAUGAACUAUUGAGUUUAGAGAUGGAAAUGGGUGAUUUCCUAGAAGCUGCAGGAAUAGCAAAGCAUAAAGGAGAUGUCUUACUGGAGGUAGACAUACUCGAGAAGGCAGAUUUGUUUGAGGAUGCAACACGGCUUCUCCUCCUCCAUAUCAUUGUGGGUUCCUUGUGGUCUUCAAAUAGUAGGGGGUGGCCUCCCAAAAGAUAUGCAGAGAAGGCAAAGUUGCUUGCAAAAGCCAAAGAGAUGGCAAAAAAGGUCUCUGAGUGCUUCUACUGCUUUGUUUGCGUCGAAGCUGAUGCACUGUCAGAUGUGAAUAAGUCUCUUUCCAGUUUGAAUUGCACUUUGCUUGAGGGCAGAAAAUGUGCAAACUUACUAGUUGAACUUGUUGCUUCCCGUUCAAUCCUUGAUGUUCAUCUUCAGUCUCGAGCCUCUGGAUACAAGAUAGAAUUAGGGCCAGGAUCUGAAGAUGAAAAUAGCUGUAAUGAUAUGCUGGCCUCUAACCAGAUGUCACCCCAAACUCUGUUUUAUGCCUGGAAUCGCUGGAAGUCGAUCAUAAUCAAAGUACUAUCUCAUCUUUGCCACACCGAUGGUCCAGAAUUAAAUGACUAUGCAGUUGUGUAUGAAGAUCUUUUUGCCAAGUACUUCGGAUUGAGAAAAGAUGGUGAAGGUGACAGAUAUGUUGUGCUGAACAUGAAUGCAAGUUGGCUUUCCAACGCUGGCAGGAAUUCUUUGCAGCAAGACAGCAACAGAUGUUUAUUGGGUGCCUCCGAGUGUCAUUCAUGUGCUCAGUGUUUCUGGAUGAAUGAGCUGUCUUCUGUUGGUUUCAGUGUACUUAAGAAGUUGGAGUCAAUUGUUCAAAUUUCUCGAAAGUCGGCAUCUUGGUAUACCCUGGUCAGAACUGUCCUUAUCAUACAUGAGAUAGAAAAGUUUUUGGAAGAACCACAGUUCAGCAUGCCAAAAGGUUCCAUGAAGUUAAGAAGCUUUUUUGUUCUCUGCGGGCGUCGAUUCUUUGAGCUAGUUUUUCUUGUGUGGAGAGAUGGGACAAAGGGGAGCCUCUCGCAUGUACUUGACUCACCAGCUGCAUAUGGAUUGAUUGUUGAUUCUCUUAGUGCAAAUCUUCGCCCAGCAAAUAAAAAUUUGACUUAUGGGCAUCUUGGGAGAACAACCAUGCUUCUGCUUCAUACAGCACAAUUGGACGAAGUGCUACUUUCAAGACUACUACAGUACCUGGGCAAUAAUUCUGAGUGGGCAGGUUUUUUUCGAUAUUUCAAGAGAUUUAUUGACAGUGGUCGCAAUAGAUCAUCCUUGAUCUUCAACUUUAAGCUUGCUCUUGAGUUUACCUUAAGUGUGAAGUGGAAGGAUGAACUAGACUACAUAUCCCCGGCAUGUUAUAUGGGUCUUAUGGAGUGCCUUGGUUUCUUGGCUUCAUCAUGCUUUGUACAGAAUGAUUUUAUGUGCUGGAUGAAAUCUCUGUUGGUCAAUAUGCUGGAGUGCCGUACCAGCAAGGCUUUCAUUGACACCUGCCUGGUAUCUAAGUCAAGCCCAGAUUCUGGUCUUGAUGGUGUGGAACACUUAUCAGGCCGUUUCAUAUACGAGACAAUUAUUACUAUCUUGACGACCAAGCAUAUGCUCCAGGAAUGGGUACAUAAGACUUCAUGUCCUUCCAGUACUUCAUACAAAGCAGUCCUCCUGAGACUAGUUGUUACACUUUAUCCUCUGAUCCUUACUCUUUCUCUUGGGAAGUGCUAUGAGGUCACACGUAACCUUGUGAGGAAUGAAGUAUUUAAGGAUUUACCUUUGGAGUCUCUAAGAAGAUUGAAGAUGCUUUGA